UGAUCCGCGGCGGGAGAGUCCUGCCGGUACAUCCCGUCAGGCGCCGUAGGAGCAAACCCUCCCCAGGAAUCUCUCAGGCACCCUGUACCGCCGCGGCGAG
RNAcentral lists this non-coding RNA (100 nucleotides) under Arthrobacter sp. RNAcentral's name for it is "Glycine sequence". It matches the Rfam family "Glycine riboswitch aptamer". From Rfam's summary of the family: This family represents the bacterial glycine riboswitch. RNAcentral also lists the same sequence under 1 other name. The record is from RNAcentral. Lineage: Bacteria; Bacillati; Actinomycetota; Actinomycetes; Micrococcales; Micrococcaceae.